AUGUUCUCCAACCCAUGCAAUGGCGCGGUUACCUGCCUGCUUGCUAUCUUGGAGAGCUUUGGAGAGGCUACGGGGCUGCGCGUGAACCCAUCGAAGUCCAUUGUUGAGCCCAUCCAGUGCCAAGCCCUGAACCAGGACGACAUCGUGCAUCACUUUGCCGGCCGGCAUGUGGGUUUCCCAAUAUCCUACAUGGGCCUGCCAAUUUCUCUGGGUAGAUUGAGGAAAGUGCACCUUCAGUUUAUCUUCCACCGCAUCAAGGCAAAAUUGGCAGGCUGGAAAGGGCGGCUCAUGAACAGCGCAGGCCGGCGCACACUUGUCCGCUUGGUGCAAUCUGCUAUUCCGAUCUUCAUGCUCACCUCCAUCAAGGCCUCGAGCGGUGUCUUAAAGGAAACCGACAAGAUCUGCCGUCGCAUCCUCUGGGCCCAAGAGGACGAACUAUCGGGAGGCAAAUGCAAAGUAAACUGGCGCACUGUCUGCUCUCCGCUGGAGUUUGGUGGCCUGGGCUUGUUAGACACAGCGAAAUUUGCCCGAGCUCUUCGACUCAGGUGGCUAUGGCUCUCCUGGGAUGAAGUCACCAAACCAUGGGCUGGCUUCCUUUUGCCUUGUGACGAUCAGGACCGUCAGUUGUUUGCUGCUGCAACGUCUGUCACGAUCGGCAACGGCGAGCGCGCCACCUUCUUGGAGUCCACCUGGCUGGGCCCGCUGCCGUUGUGA
Molecule: ribosomal RNA, 714 nt
Filed under: Triticum aestivum (bread wheat)
Lineage: Eukaryota; Viridiplantae; Streptophyta; Magnoliopsida; Poales; Poaceae
Description: partial small subunit ribosomal RNA
Source: RNAcentral